This 426-nucleotide ribosomal RNA is filed under the name uncultured bacterium. RNAcentral describes it as "bacterial SSU rRNA". It matches the Rfam family "Bacterial small subunit ribosomal RNA", at positions 355 to 796 of the family's 1533-position model. The record is from RNAcentral.
UCGAGAAUAUUCGACAAUGGACGAAAGUCUGAUCGAGCGACGCCGCGUGCGGGAAGAAGGCCUUCGGGUUGUAAACCGCGGUAGUUAGGGAAAAAAUUAUUGAUUGUACCUAACGGAAAGAGGUGGGUAACUACGUGCCAGCACCAGCGGUAAUACGUAGACCUCAAGCGUUAUCCGGAUUUAUUGGGCGUAAAGCGCGUGUAGGAGGUUUUGUGCGUCCUUGGUUAAAGCCCACCGCCUAACGGUGGAAGUGCCACGGAUACGACAAAACUAGAGGGGGUUAGAGGUGCAUAGAACGCACGGUGUAGGGGUGAAAUCCGUUGAUAUCGUGCGGAAUACCAAAGGCGAAGGCAGUGCACUGGGACCUUCCUGACUCUGAGACGCGAAAGCGUGGGGAGCAAAAAGGAUUAGAUACCCGCGUAGUCC